Molecule: ribosomal RNA, 1266 nt
Filed under: Triticum aestivum (bread wheat)
Lineage: Eukaryota; Viridiplantae; Streptophyta; Magnoliopsida; Poales; Poaceae
Description: partial small subunit ribosomal RNA
Source: RNAcentral
AUGGAGGAGGAGGAGGCCCUCGACUCCUUGCCGGGGGAGCACACGCUCGUCGCGGUGCUCCGCCGCCACGCCGAGACCGGCGAGCUCCCGGCGUGGGUCCACGAGGUGAACGUCUACGCUGCCAGCCCGGUCCUUCUCACCGCCGACCGCAAGAAGGUCAUCGCGGAGGACGGAUCCACCGCUUGGUUCUUCCUCUACACCCCCGCGCGCAAGGAGGGCUCAUCCUCCCGCUGCAGCCGCAAAGCGGGCGGCGCGACCUGGAUCGAGGAGCGAACCAGGCCCGUCGAGAAGGCCGGUGCCGACGGCGGCUGGGUCGUGAUCGGACACGCGAGUACCUUCACCUACGGCAAGCGGACAAAAGGCCCCGACAAGAAGAGGAGGACGGAGCGGCUCGGAUGGAUUCUCGUUGAGGUCCGCCUCCCAGGCGAGACGAUGUGCUGCGCCAAGCUCUACCGGUCGCCCAGGAAGACGUCUGCGGCCGCUCCUCCUCCUCCCGCGGCUCCUUCGGCCGCGGUGAACGCUCCUCCUCCUCCCGCGGCUCCAGAGGCCGCGGUGAACGCUCCUCCUCCUCCCGCGGCUCCAGAGGCCGCGGUGAACGCUCCUCCUCCUCCCGCGGCUCCAGAGGCCGCGGUGGUACCUGCUCCUCCUCCCGCGGCUCCUGAGGCCGCGGUGGUGCCCCCUCCCCCUCCCGCGGCUCCAGAGGCCGCGGUGGUACCUGCUCCUCCUCCCGCGGCUCCUGAGGCCGCGGUGGUGCCCCCUCCCCCUCCCGCGGCCCCAGCGGCGGUGGCGGUGCCCCCUGCCCCGGCACCAGCACCAGCUCCAGCCCCAGCGCUGGCCGCGCCCGCACCUCCAGCACCAGCUCCAGUCCCAGCGCUGGCCGCGCCCGCACCUCCAGCACCAGCUCCAGUCCCAGCGCUGGCCGCGCCCGCACCUCCAGCCCCAGCGCUGGCAGUGCCCGUUCCUCCAGCCCCGGCACCAGCCCCGGUGGCUCCUCUGGCUCCAGCAGCACGCUCUCCCCCAGCUCCAGCAGCACACUCUCCGACGCCGGUGGCUCCUCCAGCACCCGCAGAUUCCAGUCCGGACAAGACCUGGGUAAACGUGCUGGUCUCCAAAUUCCCCACGAAGCUUAGUGACAAGGGCAUGUCGAAGCGGGUCCACAAGUUGCUCCUGCCCUCUGAAGGUGGCUUCGACUCUCCCCCCGCCAAGAGAAGGCUGCUCAGCUGCACUGGCUGGCUAAGCAUCAACACUCUCGAGGGAUCAGCUUAG